UCUACGGGUGGCAGCAGUGAGGAAUAUUGGUCAAUGGGAGAGAUCCUGAACCAGCCAAGUCGCGUGAGGGAAGACGGCCCUAUGGGUUGUAAACCUCUUUUGCCGGAGAACAAAACCCGGGACGCGUCCCGGACUGCGUGUAUCCGAAGAAAAAGCAUCGGCUAACACCGUGCCCGCAGCCGCGGUAAAACGGAGGAUGGGAGCGUUAUCCGGAUUUAUUGGGUUUAAAGGGUGCGUAGGCGGUCAGGAAAGUCCGCGGGAAAAGGAGGGGGCUCAAACCCGGCGAGGCGUUGAAACGGGCGGACUGGAGAGGGCGAGAGGUACGCGGAAUGCGCGGUGUAGCGGUGAAAUGCAUAGAUAUCGCGCAGAACCCCGAUUGCGAAGGCAGCAUACCGGCGCCGGACUGACGCUGAGGCACGAAAGCGUGGGUAUCGAACAGGAUUAGAUACCCCAGUAGUC
This 459-nucleotide ribosomal RNA is filed under the name uncultured bacterium. Its description in RNAcentral is "partial 16S ribosomal RNA". It matches the Rfam family "Bacterial small subunit ribosomal RNA", at positions 338 to 795 of the family's 1533-position model. The record is from RNAcentral.